CUAUAGGGUAAUUUAAACAAAAAUACAAGGACUAAUAGGAGGACCAAGUAGUUGGUUUCGUUAAAAUACAAGUACUAAAUAAUAAUUUUUCCCAUUAUUAUACCAUAACAGCACAUCUAACACUUUGAAAGAUAGCGACUCAUUCAAAUCAUAUAUAUUAUAUAAUUGUUUAAAAGCUAAUGUUAGAUUAAAAUAACACAAGGAAAAAGAAGAUGCAAGUGAUUCAUGGAAAUGGAUAGACAUCACUUGCAUUCUUUAAUGGAAUCUUGUCUCAAUCAUCAUAAGUUUUCCCUACCAGAAUCUUGUCUGAUUAUGUUCUUGAUCAGUUUCAUAAUCGAGCCAUCUGUUCGUAAUGCACUCCGCGUGGAAAUCACAAGGAGAAAUUACCAAGAAUAUCGUGGUGGGGUAGAAAGUGUCUCUCUACAAAUUCUGAACAGUUGGGAACUAGUCAGUUGCCCUGAAAAUCAGAAUCACAAUCAAUAAUAGUAGAGAGAGACGUCAAGGAGACAAUCAAAGCACUAACUUAUCUAUGCAGACUGGAGAGUGAAUAUGCACAGAAGUAAACAAAAGCUUCCCUCUCAAUUAUUUCUAGUGGGAAUGGGGAUUCAUGCACGAUAUCAUAACAUUAACUACAUGAUUCAUAAGAAAUGGAAACAGAAUUUAGACUUGGAGAAAUUACUCGAUUCAUUCUAGCAUGAUAGUGAAUAAUCAUAGAAGAGAGAGAACAGAAUUGUCCUCAACUAAAAAUUUCCAUAUGUGCAGGAUUAUUCUACAUGAUCUUCAAGUUCUCAUAAUGGCUUUUUCCUUCUGAAUAAUUGUAUUAAUCCAUAGUUACUCUUUGCAGUAAAAAUUUCAAAGUCAGCAGAACAGACAAUACCUCCAUGGCUCCAUCAUUCAGAAAAUGGAAACUAAUCUAUCAAGUUCUUCUUUUUCUCAUAACAAGUUCCUAUUGUCAUUCAAAAUUCAAUCAUUUACUAGUUGAUUAUGGCCCAUCAAUUCACACAGAGGAUAAUACCGAUUAACACUUCAAGUCUUUUCAUGCACAGAAACAAACAGACAUGAUUCAAGUACUCCACUCAAGGUUCUGAUCAUUCCUAGGAACAAACACAUGGCUCCAACAGUUUGAGGUAAGCCUUUUUAUAGAUCAUGGAGACUCAAAUUCAAGGCAUAAAUCACUUUACCAUGAACUUAUCAAGCAGCCUUUUUUUCACCUGCAAAUUCAUGUCAGCAUAUCAUUAGGGAACAUCAACAAGUUGGUUUGAUCUAAAAGCAUAAAGUUCAAUUAUUGUUAUUGAUGAUAACAUAAUUUCCUUUAAAUUUGCCUAUGUUGAACCUAAACACUUCCAUCAGUUGGUAUUCAAUCAAAAGAAAGCAACGCUGCCAACAGAAACCUUCAUGUUUAAAACCUAAAUCCAAAAAAUAACACAGUAAAGCACAUAUUAAUUCCACAUUGAUCAGAAAGAGAUGAGGAGACAACAUUAUAACGACAGAUCCACAAUCAAUUGCCUUUGAUUUUUGGAUCGAAGGUGGUAUUCAACUAGUGCAACUUAAUGAUUCCUCUCUAUAAGUGUAGAGAUAUAGUGUAGAGAUGAUAGCAGAUUCUUAGUUUUAGUAUUAGGUUUGAACAGGACGCUUACUAGGUUAUUCCUGCAAGCUAAAGAAAGCAUAGAAAACAUUCUAGGAUAAGCUAAAAACCAACCUAUCAUUUUUUUUUUGGAUAGACUGAAAACAAAAACAACCUAUCAAUUUACCUAGAGAUAUUAGUAAUAUGAGAUUAUAAAUUAUAAUUACUCUUAGAGCUUUUUACAGUGAAUAACCUUUUACUUUCAAUGGUGUCAGACACAUCAAGGUAAAAACUCUCAAGGGUUAUGCCUCCAAUUUGUUUCUACUUACUAAGACUAAUACCACCAAAGAAGACCGCACUGAUAGUUUCUGAAGUACACUAAUGAAUCCCAUGUCUAUCAAAAAUUGCAGAUUGAGAGUGGCCUAUAUGUAUGCUUUGGAAUAAGAAAUGUCACAUAUCGAAUUCAAAAUGCAUGACCUCUAAAUUGAUUUACUUAAUAAGAAAUCAGCAACCCAGGAGCACAAAAGUUAAGUCAAAUUCCUUUCACUAGCUCAUGUAUUCCACUUAAUCCAUUGUUCAACUUUUGCAUUAAGUGUCCAGUCUCUCACCACAUAUACAUCCUACAUGGCAGCCCACACCAUUAUGAGGAAUCAAAACAAUGCUUGAAUCAAAUGGAAUAAUUUUCAAUUAUAAUUGUAAUUAAAGGAAUUCAAUCUACAAUUAUAGUUCCGCAGGCACCUCAAAAUAUACUUCACGGGGGUUUUAUCAAUAGCCAAGUGAAACUAACACAUUGAAAGCACCAACAAACCAUAGAUAGGAGUCAUGACACAAAAUCUUGGCUGCCAUGUGCUGGCUUUAAAAAUUUGUUCACAACAAAACCCAAACCUUUUUUAUAGCAUGCAUUUUACAAGCAAAGGUUUAAUAUACAAUUCCUACGUCCAUUACGCUACAUUCCAGCAAGGUAUAAAAGAAAAAUGGUAUAUCUCUGAUUAAACAGAUCCUAUAGUAACAGUGUCCUUGAAAAAGUUACAAUUGAUUUUAUUUGGGCUGAAUACUUGCCCAAGAAAAUUCAGAUAGCACUGCAGUUACAGCCAGUCAGUACCUCUUCUUCACUUCUUAACUUGAGAAACUUGAACAAUACAAUAAACCAAUUGUGAAUUCCUUAUGUGCUGAAUAAGUUGCAUAAAAUGUCCCUAAUUCAGAGAGCUAAGCAGAAACAAAAACGUGUAUCAACUAUCAAGUGAGGUAGGAUAGUGCAUUCCAUCUUUUAGAUGGCUUAUUGCUGGGGGACAUAACCAUUUAAGCAAGUUUGGACCCAAUACCAUGGUGAUAUUUUUGUAAGCACUAAGGUCGAAGGGAUGCCGAUAAAUCUGCCCAGAUUUCCUAGCCAGCCAUGAAGCACGAAUUCCCUCAUAAUACUCUGUAGUUUUCAUAUUAUGAGUGAUAAGGUAAGUGUGCCAACCAAAGAGAGUUCCAAGUGUUCCGCUCAAGGCUACCAUCAAUAAUCCAGAGACAACCACGCAAUAUGAAUAAUUCCUCCUGUCAGGGGCCUACAGUAAGACGAGAUAUUCUACUUUUUCAAUCAAAGUGAAUCCUUCCUAGUGUUUCCCUUCUUCCCUUCAUUUCUUUCUUCCUUUCAGCAAAACAUUACAUUGGGGCUUUGCUUUUCUUCUGUUGUUACAUCUCUUGUAUACGCCUGGGUAUUGGGCAAGUUGCAAUAAAAGAUCUUUACGGGAACUCUUGCACCAAAAUCCCAGUUCUCUUGAAAUGUACAGCAGAUUAUAAUGACCAAAGAAUGGAAGCUUGCUACUGUUGCAUGGAGAACUAAUAUGAAAAAGGCCUUAUAGUUCCAAUAACCAACACAAUUAUUUAUCCACAGACAAUGAUGAUCCAUCCUCAAAACACACCUUCUGCAGAUCCGGCAAUGAUGAGCCCUAGGAGGCUUGUAUGUGCAACACUUGUCACAUUGCCUCAAUUGUGAACUCUAUCAAAAACUAAGUAUUUAUUAGGUCUAGAGCCACAUUGCAAAGUGAAGUCUAUUUUAAAACUGUGGAAAAGAAAUAGACAGAUGCCAGAAUCUUUCCCAGUGUUUAAUACCACAGAAACAUAUAAUUUUAUCCAGAACACUUUAAUUGUCCCCCUAAAUAUUGCAUUUUCUAGGAAAAAAAAUUCUUCAAAAGGGCCAUGUAACCAUAUAAUUAACAUCUCAGUACGUAUUCUUCCUUAAUUUUCCCAUAAACCAAACAAAAAUACACAAAAACAAAAGAAACACAUUAUUAUAAUAAAAUCUAGAAUAUGUAGGCAAGUAUUAGCUUAAAUUAUUUUGCGAUUCUUGAUCUGGGGCAUCAUUCCCUUUAAUGUCAGGGACAUAAGAGGAAGGUACAUGACCAGGGUCAGUAAGAACACAGACAGAAAAAGAGAAAACACAUAAAGAAGCCAUCCAAGUGAAGAUCAAAGCAUUCAAAGUUCCAGCUGAGCUCUGCAAACCAACCCAAUCCACGAUGAAAAUGAAGAGUGUAUAAUAGUAGAUAAAACCCAUUAACAGAAACACAGAAAAGACUGGGAUCGAUAGAAAUCUCUGGCAUUUCAUAGUGGAUAUAUCGGAUUUCUUUGGUCGAGGAGCAGAACUGGGAAGUCAAAUUGAUGUGUUCUGCUUCCGUUCUGUUUGGCGUGUUUGCUAGAUA
This 4248-nucleotide unclassified non-coding RNA is filed under the name Hevea brasiliensis (rubber tree). The record is from RNAcentral. Lineage: Eukaryota; Viridiplantae; Streptophyta; Magnoliopsida; Malpighiales; Euphorbiaceae.